CCCUUCCUUCUCUUACCGAUGUGCACGAUCGCCAGUGAUCGGAGUCGCCGGAUUUUGCCUAGAAAGACAGCCCCUGUUCCAUCCCUUUUUUCUUGAUUUUUCGGCAUCGGUGGUCACCGGCAACCACCGGCUUUGGGUUCCUCUGGGCCGCUCCAUCGACACCUCCUGCCGCCGGCCACCGUCGUGCCGGCUGCGGCCUUGGACAGCCGAUCAAAGGGAGGGGACCAUUCGGU
Molecule: long non-coding RNA, 233 nt
Filed under: Elaeis guineensis (African oil palm)
Lineage: Eukaryota; Viridiplantae; Streptophyta; Magnoliopsida; Arecales; Arecaceae
Description: long non-coding RNA (EGUI_LNC037205)
Source: RNAcentral